RNAcentral lists this long non-coding RNA (4159 nucleotides) under Lynx pardinus (Iberian lynx). The record is from RNAcentral. Lineage: Eukaryota; Metazoa; Chordata; Mammalia; Carnivora; Felidae.
CUUCAGCCUGCAGAGGGAAGAGAGAAGGGGCCCCCAAAAUAGAGCUUUAAAACCCUCCCUUGUCUUUUGUGACAGUACAAUUUACUGUUUCGUUUUGGUCUCUUAUCAGGAAGCCUUCUGAAUCAGUGCUCUAUUUUGAGCACAAAGUCAAGAUUUUUGUGGCCGCAGCCAAAGAUGUUCACGUGGAGAGCUGCUGAGCUGGCUUGUUGAUUCAGGCCCCGACGAUUCCUCAGGUCUUUCUGGGUAAGUGGGAAGGGGUUCAUCCAUAAAAGCUUUUUCUUGGCCUUUCUAUGCCUCUCCCACCCCGUCCACUUAGCAUUCCACUAGAGAGGACACCAAAUUGAAUUCACGCCAAGAAAAUGGACACGCUCCACAUACGUUGAGAGCUUUCCUGUAUUAAUAGCUUGCCCAGAGUCGACUGUCUCCCUGGGGGAUUUAAGUUUCUUCCCUUGUGAGUGUCUAUUUUUUCCUCUUUGUUCUUCCUCUCCCCUGGCCUUCUUACAGAAAUAACAGGGUCAUUGACAUGUAACGCAGUUAUAAAACCUGUGACGAGGCGCCCGUCUAGUGACAGCAGGGCCGAGCCAGCCGAUACCUCCGCGACCGAGUCCCCGUAACGUGAGUACCUCGCGCCAUCCCGUGUAACCCCCAGGACAAAUCUGCAAGAUAAGCUGUGCCAUCCUGAGUUUUCACAUGAGAAAAUGGAAGCUCAGAGAAGAUGAAUAUCCUUUGCCCAAAGAUCCAUGGUGAGUACAAGAGGUGAGCUUUAAACUCAGUCGUCUGUCUAGAGGGCUCUAGUAUUCCGCUCUGUGUACUUUGACGGUAAGUAGAGAGACACCCAGACCUCCUUCUUCUUGGCCCCAAGUUCUUUUACCAGACUGGGUUUGGUGCCCCGAUUGUAUAAGAACGUAUUGCCUUUAGCAUCUCUUUCCCCUUGUGGCUGCUACCUCAGCAACCCCAUCGAGCAGGAAAGCAAACAUGUUCAAGAUUUCACUCAGCUUGGCCGUUCGAUCUCUCCGCCAUGUGUGGGCUGAACCUCUUUGGGACCAACGCUGGGCAGGGUCGCCAUGUCCCCGCUGAGACGGCCAGGUGGCUACAGUACUCGGUAGCCCUGCGUCCUGCCCUCUCCUACAGUUUCCAAUCUCAUUUGGCUCCUUGUGAAUUAUGUGACAUCUGAGCCUGUGAGACCAGGUGUUCCCGCCCCCUCAGGGGACCUGAAAGGCAGCCCUGGGGCAUGAGCCCUUCGUGGGGGGACCGUUAGACCAUUUCCGACAAGCACCUAACAAGACAUCUCCUGCAGCCGAGUCAGCCCUCCCUACUCCCGGGCAGUCACCGAAGCCAUGUGCCCUGGUGGGUUCUUAUAGAAGCAUCCACACCAGUCCAUCUGAGGACCCUAUGGGCCUGACCCCCACAUAGGAUUGAUGCAAAGUGGCAGGGAGUUGAAGACCCCAGGCAUAACCUUGAACUCAUGAACCCACAGAAGUUGGUAAAUUAAGGUCCUGGACACUUUGACCCUCGGGUGGGACAAGGCUAAGGUGUGUUGUCCACUUUCCACCCAUCUCAAGACCAACGGGGUUGAUCCAGCACUGUCCAUGGCAAUGACUUCAGUAAAACACCCCACGUUGGCUUGCUUCUCUUCUGUCUUACUUGCGCUCCUUAUCAGGGCUUGCUGGGAACAGCCCCUAGUACAUUCCUUGGACUCAGACCCUAGUCUCAGGGUGGACUUGGGAGGAACUGACCUUGGACACCCCCCAAGCCCCCUUCCCUGUAUCCCAAGUGCAGCCAGCAUACUGCUGGGCUCUCUCAGGGAAUGCCGUUGACAGAGUUGAGGGCAGUCGUCCCUGGGCCCCCGCUUAGACUUUUCCAUGCCAGAAACCUAUUGUUCCAGCCAGACGGCAUCCAUCAGGAGCUCCUGGAGGACACAGGAGGUAGGGAUCAGGGUGGGACACCAGAAAUGUCAGUGAAUUUCUAUUGCAAUGUGUCCACACUGAAAGAGGUUCCAACAGAAGGUCUCCUGUUCCAACUCUAAGCCAGAUGAGGCUCUUCAACAAAGAGGGUCCUCUAUCCACCCAGAGGGCAUCUGGAUUAUUGCAGAUUGACAAUGUUUCAGAUGAGAAAGAACAGUAAGAUGUUUCUUUUUCCUCCUUGAACUCCCUUCCUUCUCUAUCCCAGGUCGUAUGUUCCAUUAAGUCAUCUGGAUGAUUUCUGGGGAGGCACGGGACUCCAACGUCAUGCACCCCACUUCUGCUGGCCAACACUUGGGGACCGCCGGGUCCUGACCUCAGCACACUGGAUGGUGGAGUGGGUGACUGUGUGCGUCCGUUUCCUCCAGCGAACACGGCAUCCGGGAGCGAGAGCGUUCACUUUGUCAAAGGUUCAGAAAUAACAGAAGUAAAACCAGUGAAUCACCGUGGUAGCAAUCAGUAAAAGUUUAUCAUGCACACACCAAAAAGGAAGUUUGCAAACCGGGAGCACUCAAACCGGAAGGUAGCGUGAGGCUCGGGGGUGGAUUCUUAUAAAGCAGCUCAUAUGGUGAGAAGGCAGUGGCUGUGUGUUCUUCCAGGGUUUGGUCCUAACGCUAGAAUUUUCUUAAGUCAUAGGGAAUUGGUCAGUGGUUACCUCAUACCAACCUUGGGAAACAGUUCAAGUUUUGCUUGUGACUUCCAGAGGCGCAAGCAAAGGACUGACCCAGGUCCAGUCAGUCUUGCAAAAUAAUCUAAAUUAAGCUUUGUUUGUAUGACCAAAGUGGUUUCCUCUGCUCAGGGCAUUUUCACGGCUGUGUUUUUUAUUCAACGGCCUCCUCCCUCAUGGAUCAGAGGUGGGCACGUGACGCCCUGAGACCCAGGGCGGCCUCUCCCAGAACCCCUGGGAAACAGCUCUUCAGGCUCCUCCAUGGAUCCCCAGGGCCUGGGCCGCCAUAUUGGUACGCUUGGCCAAGGACCUGGGAAUGGAUCUCCAGGGGAGGCAGAACCACAGGGAGUCCUUGUGCUGUGAGCAAUGGAACCUGCCUGUUCUCCUCCUCCUUUGCAACAAUGGAGCCUUUCCUUUCCUGUCCUUGCUUACUCCAGUUUUGACCAAGGUUUCCAUCACAUGUGGCAAAGAAUCCUAAGUGAUCACGUGGAAGGGAGAAGUCUUCUUAACCUGUGUUUGUACCAGGACCAGAGAUCCUUCUCCACAGUCGCCGUGGCCCGGUGUUGUCUAUGAGGCCAAAGCGUGUCGCCGCUGGGUGCCCCUCAGCAUGUGUGUAGAAUAUUGGAAGUCCUCCUGGGCUGUGGGAGCGCAUUGGCUCCUCAGAAGGGGACGACAGAACUUACCGGAAUUUGUCCUUGAGAUGCCCAAGGGUCUGAGUCGGACAUGCUGAGGUUUUAUCCCCAAAGUUAAGAUUUCAUUCGCAAAUAAGUUUAUACAAAAGCACUAGGGGACGGUACACUUUAAAUCCAAGCACAAAAUAUAUCCAGUUUAGUAAACUGGGACCCAUAUUUUGAAAAGAAGGAGAAAAUAUUCCACUGGAAACAAAGGAAUUCAAAUAUACAAAGUGAUGUUUACCCACCAGUUGAUUUUGAAAGGUUAGAGACGUGGCCUUUUUUACAUGGAAAUAUACUCUUACCACAUCAUUUAAAAAAUUCCUUAGCCUCUCUUCAGCCUUUUAUUAUGAAAUAUUCAACCUACAGAAAAGUUGCAAAAAUAAUCGGAUGAAUGUCUACGUAUCCUUCACCUAGAUUAACCAAUUGCUAAUGUUUUUCCGUACUUGUUCCAGAUCCAUCGGUAUGUGACACACACAUGCCUAUGUCCGCAGGCAAAAAUUACACACACACACACACACACACACAUUCACACACACGCUCUCGCACAUACGCUCACAUAAGUACUUUUUCUGAUGGACAAUCUGAGAGUUAAUUGCAGACAUCAUGACACCUCACCACCGAAUACUUUAGCAUCUGUCUCCUAAAAAAAAAAAUCAAUUAAUUGCCACACUCAGGAAAGUUAACACUGAAAUAAUGCCGUUACCUAAAUAGAUGGUCCGUAGUCACAUUUUUCUGUUUGUGCUGAUAAUGUCCUUCGGGGCUGGGGUUUGCUGCUGUUGCUUUUUGUUCUUGUAUUUUUCUAAAUCUGGGAUCCAACCAAAUAUCAUGCAUUCAUUUAUUAAUAUUUUACUUUUGAA